Vicia faba (fava bean) is the source of this 213-nucleotide non-coding RNA. The record is from the annotation of a GenBank genome assembly. NCBI's taxonomy places the organism in Eukaryota, Viridiplantae, Streptophyta, Magnoliopsida, Fabales, Fabaceae.
AUGGUUGUGGAAGGCGGAGCAGUGUGGCUUUGGGUGGUGGUGGUGUUUGCGUCAUGGUAUCGUCCGAGGUUGAUUAGUUUGUCGUCUCUGAUCGGUGAUGAGUUGUGGAGUUUGGUGACGGGUCCGUCGAGCGAGAAUGGACUGCCAUCUCCCGGAAAAGGUUUGGAACAACAUGACAGGCUGAUUUUAGAAAGCAACAUAGCAAUGCAGUAA